CACGCUUCUGAAACUGGUGUAGGAACAACCUCAGUUCUGUGAAAGGCGGACGCAGCAGGACAGAAUCUCCGUGGACAUCUGUCUGGAGGAGCAAUUUUACUGCGACAUUUUAAAGAAACAAAUUUAAUUGAUUUCCAAGGGUGUCCAUCGCGCUUCCUUCACUGCCUUGAUCAUGUCGGGGUCACCACCUGCGGGGGUUUGUCCUGCAGACCCUGACUCAACGACGGAUGAAUAAUGUACACUGACACAGAUCUUAUGCUUGUCAGUCCUGCUGAGCAUCCAGGCCACUUACAGACUCCAAGAAGAGUCCUGUCAGCCACGGCUCUGACUUGUUGGCCCUCCCGGCAUUUAUUUAGCACACAUUUAAUGACAGAAGUCUCAGGCUGGAAACACUCUUUUUGUAGAACAUACAAAUGGACAUUUCUAAGCACAUUGAGGCCUAUAAUGAAAAAUCAAAUAUCCCACAAUGAAAACUAGAAGGAAGCUAUCUGUGAUAAUGCUUUGUGGUGUAUGGAUUCAUCUCACUGACUGAAACCUGAGUUUUGAUUCACCAGAAUCUAUGCAGGGACAUUUUUGUGCUCAUUGAGGCCUACUGUGAAAAACCAAACAUCAGGGGUGGAGCCAAAAAAGCCAAAUAGGAACAGCUCCAGUCUACAGCUCCCAGCAUGAGCCACACAGAAGAUGGAUGAUUUCUGCAUUUCCAACUGAGAAUCUAUGAAAGGAUAUUUCUGAGCCCAUUGAGGAUCUAUAGUAAAAAAAUCUAUUAUCCUGUGAUAAACACUAGAAGUAAGCUAUCUGUGAAAAUGCUUUGCCUUGUGUGGAUUCAUCUUACAGAGGUUGAAAGCAUUCUUUUUGUAGAAUCUAUGAAAAGACAUUUCUGAGCUUAUUCUGGUUUAUAGAGUAAAACCGAAUAUCCUGAAAUAAAAACUGGAAACUAGGUUGGAAACUUUUUUUGUAGAAUCUAUGAAGAAACAUUUCUGAGCUCACUGAGGCAUAUUUGGAAAAAUGGGUAUCUCACAAUACAAACUGGAAACAAGCUAUCUGUGGAAACGUUUUAUGAUGUGUGGAUUCAUGUCACAGAGUUAAUCCUUUGUUUUGAUUCAACAGUUUGAAAACACUUUUUUUGUAGAAUAUACAAAAAGACAUUUCUGAGCCCUUUGAAUCCUAUAGUAAAGAAACAAAUAUCUCACGAUAAAAACUAAAAAGAAAUUUUCUGUGAAAA
RNAcentral lists this long non-coding RNA (1222 nucleotides) under Homo sapiens (human). Its description in RNAcentral is "long intergenic non-protein coding RNA 662". Lineage: Eukaryota; Metazoa; Chordata; Mammalia; Primates; Hominidae. The record is from RNAcentral.